CCUACGGGAGGCAGCAGUGAGGAAUAUUGGUCAAUGGACGCAAGUCUGAACCAGCCAUGCCGCGUGCAGGAAGACGGCUCUAUGAGUUGUAAACUGCUUUUGUACGAGGGUAAACGCAGAUACGCGUAUCUGUCUGAAAGUAUCGUACGAAUAAGGAUCGGCUAACUCCGUGCCAGCAGCCGCGGUAAUACGGAGGAUUCAAGCGUUAUCCGGAUUUAUUGGGUUUAAAGGGUGCGUAGGCGGUCGGAUAAGUUAGAGGUGAAAUCCCGAGGCUCAACUUCGGAAUUGCCUCUGAUACUGUUCGGCUAGAGAGUAGUUGCGGUAGGCGGAAUGUAUGGUGUAGCGGUGAAAUGCUUAGAGAUCAUACAGAACACCGAUUGCGAAGGCAGCUUACCAAGCUACUUCUGACGUUGAGGCACGAAAGCGUGGGGAGCAUACAGGAUUAGAUACCCUAGUAGUC
This 460-nucleotide ribosomal RNA is filed under the name uncultured bacterium. Its description in RNAcentral is "partial 16S ribosomal RNA". It matches the Rfam family "Bacterial small subunit ribosomal RNA", at positions 338 to 795 of the family's 1533-position model. The record is from RNAcentral.